Molecule: ribosomal RNA, 440 nt
Filed under: uncultured bacterium
Lineage: Bacteria
Description: partial 16S ribosomal RNA
Rfam family: Bacterial small subunit ribosomal RNA
Source: RNAcentral
CCUACGGGCGGCAGCAGUGGGGAAUAUUGCACAAUGGGGGCAACCCUGAUGCAGCGACGCCGCGUGAGUGAAGAAGUACUUCGUUAUGUAAAGCUCUAUCAGCAGGGAAGAAAAUGACGGUACCUGAGUAAGAAGCCCCGGCUAACGCCGUGACAGCAGCCGCGGUAAUACUCAGGGGGCAAGCGUUAUCCGGUGUUACUGGGUGUAAAGGGAGCGUAGACGGCAGUGCAAGUCUGGAGUGAAAGGCGGGGGCUCAACCCCCGGACUGCUCUGGAAACUGUACGGCUGGAGUGCAGGAGAGGUAAGUGGAAUUCCUAGUGUAGCGGUGAAAGGCGUAGAUAUUAGGAGGAACACCAGUGGCGAAGGCGGCUUACUGGACUGUAACUGACGUUGAGGCUCGAAAGCGUGGGGAGCAAACAGGAUUAGAUACCCUUGUAGUC